CGUUUCAACGAUGAUGAUCUAAUCAUCCAUGUUCUCAAUGGUCUAGGUACUGAUUAUAAGGAACUUUGUGCAACAAUUCAAGUGAAAGUUACCUUGAUUUCCUUUAAAGAACUUUAUGAUAAGUGAUUGAAU
This is a small nucleolar RNA of Ziziphus jujuba (common jujube), 132 nucleotides long. RefSeq annotates it as small nucleolar RNA Z247. The record is from RefSeq and is a predicted model, not a curated record. The transcript has a single exon. NCBI's taxonomy places the organism in Eukaryota, Viridiplantae, Streptophyta, Magnoliopsida, Rosales, Rhamnaceae.